RNAcentral lists this long non-coding RNA (565 nucleotides) under Cricetulus griseus (Chinese hamster). Its description in RNAcentral is "lncRNA (ENSCGRG00015040097.1)". Lineage: Eukaryota; Metazoa; Chordata; Mammalia; Rodentia; Cricetidae. The record is from RNAcentral.
AGCCAACGCCCCAGUGACGGCACUCUAGGGGAUCUGGAAAGAGAGGAAGCUGGGUUGGAUAUCACAUUGCAUCUUUGUGGGAUUAAGAGAAAAACAGCAACAAAAAUCAGCCCCAUGAAGUUAAUGGACCUUUAAUAGGAUUAAAAGGAAGCAAGAGUGAACAGAACCCCUCUUCUGUGAUGCACCGAGCCACUACAAACAGAAGCACCAGGACUAGUGACCAUGGACUGAGACCUCUGAAUUCCUGAGCCAAACGGCUCCUCCUUAAGCAACUGCUGUCCCAACCGGCAUUUACAACUCUGAAGCUACCAGCAGCAGUUGAGCAGCACUGGCCUCAGCUAUGUGGGAAUUCUGUUCCCUCAGUCACAGGCUCUGAGAGAGAGCAGGAUGAGAAAUACCAUAUCAGAGGGAGACACUAUAGGUCCGAGAAGAGAUCUGGAACCAGAGAAAUCUCCAGAGACCUACAAGGAUGACACGAUCUGACAAUCCAGGCAAUGGUGGAGAGGAUAACCUAAAAGCCCUUCCCCUAAAAUGAGAUUGAUGACUUCUCUUUAUGCCAUCCUAG